Molecule: transfer RNA, 72 nt
Filed under: Candidatus Legionella polyplacis
Lineage: Bacteria; Pseudomonadati; Pseudomonadota; Gammaproteobacteria; Legionellales; Legionellaceae
Description: Legionella endosymbiont of Polyplax serrata tRNA-Thr
Rfam family: tRNA
About the family: Transfer RNA (tRNA) molecules are approximately 80 nucleotides in length.
Source: RNAcentral
GCCCACAUAGCUUAGUGGUAGAGCGCUUCCUUGGUAUGGAAGAGGUCGUUGGUUCGAGUCCAGUUGUGGGCA